GUGCUCACUUCAGCAGCACAUAUACUAAAAUUGGAAUGAUACAAAGAAUACUAGCAUGGCCCCUGCACAAGAAUGGCAUUGUGUUUACCUUAUCUUGAUUUU
Molecule: small nuclear RNA, 102 nt
Organism: Suncus etruscus (white-toothed pygmy shrew)
Lineage: Eukaryota; Metazoa; Chordata; Mammalia; Eulipotyphla; Soricidae
Source: RefSeq, a predicted model, not a curated record